AUUUUAUUGUGGAUUGAUUAAUUCGAAGCAUUUCACCCUAGAACCUCGACAGUGGAGAUGGAGAGAAUUUGGAACCGGAGAAACCUGUAUCAUAAUUAUCCUCGUUGACACUGGGACAAUGCAAUCGAAAUUAAUAGAUGGAAUUGUAUGACGUCUUCCUUAAAGAGCAGAUCCAGCUAAUUGCUCGUACGAAUAUUUUGCUUCAUGAUGUGGGAGCAACGGAAUUAGGAUCAUCGUGCAAAGCUCAGGGCAGAUGACACCAGCGUUGCUUCAUUUUUGAGGGAAAAGUAUGAAUAACAACUUAUAUGGAGGUUGGAGCAACGAAGUGUUUGUUCAUCUGAAUUAAGUCAAUUUGUUGUUUAAAAUUGCGUGAGGUAAACAUCAAAAAAAGCUUCUGGACUCAGUGAAGCUAAUACAAAUUCAAAUUUGAAAUAAUUCUGAAGCCCUGUAAAAUGCAAAAUUGCUUUGUCAUUAUUUCGAAGAUCUUGAAUAUUAUAUCGAAGAGCGAUCCUGAAAGCGUUUCAA
Long non-coding RNA from Diachasma alloeum, 525 nucleotides. RefSeq lists it as uncharacterized. The record is from RefSeq and is a predicted model, not a curated record. NCBI's taxonomy places the organism in Eukaryota, Metazoa, Arthropoda, Insecta, Hymenoptera, Braconidae. The transcript has 2 exons.